CCCUUAGAUGUUCUGGGCUGCACGCGCGCUACACUGAUGCACUCAACGAGUUUACGACCUUGCCCGAUAGGGUUGGGUAAUCUUUUUAAAAUGCAUCGUGAUGGGGAUAGAUUAUUGCAAUUAUUAAUCUUCAACGAGGAAUUCCUAGUAAGCGCGAGUCAUCAGCUUGUGCUGAUUACGUCCCUGCCCUUUGUACACACCGCCCGUCGCUCCUACCGAUUGAGUGCUCAGGUGAAUAAUUCGGACUGCAGCAAUGUUUGGAUCCCGAACGUUGCAGCGGAAAGUUUAGUGAACCUUAUCACUUAGAGGAAGGAGAAGUCGUAACA
Molecule: ribosomal RNA, 326 nt
Filed under: uncultured eukaryote
Lineage: Eukaryota
Description: partial 18S ribosomal RNA
Rfam family: Eukaryotic small subunit ribosomal RNA
Source: RNAcentral